RNAcentral lists this ribosomal RNA (253 nucleotides) under uncultured bacterium. RNAcentral's name for it is "partial 16S ribosomal RNA". It matches the Rfam family "Bacterial small subunit ribosomal RNA", at positions 524 to 776 of the family's 1533-position model. The record is from RNAcentral.
UACGUAGGGUGCAAGCGUUAAUCGGAAUUACUGGGCGUAAAGCGUGCGCAGGCGGUUGUGCAAGACAGAUGUGAAAUCCCCGGGCUUAACCUGGGAAUUGCAUUUGUGACUGCACGGCUAGAGUGUGUCAGAGGGGGGUAGAAUUCCACGUGUAGCAGUGAAAUGCGUAGAUAUGUGGAGGAAUACCGAUGGCGAAGGCAGCCCCCUGGGUCAAGAUUGACGCUCAUGCACGAAAGCGUGGGGAGCAAACAGG